Neogale vison (American mink) is the source of this 3209-nucleotide long non-coding RNA. RefSeq lists it as uncharacterized. The record is from RefSeq and is a predicted model, not a curated record. NCBI's taxonomy places the organism in Eukaryota, Metazoa, Chordata, Mammalia, Carnivora, Mustelidae. The transcript has 6 exons.
AGACACACGUUCACACAGCCGAGAGGCGAGAGAGCGAAACCACCACUAGGGUCAUUGGCACGGGUCCCCGGACAGGGGCGGAGACCACCUGUUGGGAGAGGAAAGCAAGGAAGCCAUGUAGGAGCCUCUCCAUGAAAAGGAUUUCAUAAAAGGAGGAAGGGCUGGGAGCCGAGCACCUGGAGCCAUUUUACAGGGAAGCUCGGAUGUGGUGAGCCUUUCCUCAUUUCUCCACCUCUAGGGUCACGGUCACAGGAGGCAGGGCAACCCUAGCUCUACCCCGCCCCCAGCACUACACCUCGCCCGGGCAAACGCCCAUUGCAUCAGCAGCUCCUACCGCUUCCACCGGCGCCCUACCUGCCAAGCCCAGGCAGGAGGGGGAAAGAAAAGAAACUUUACUCCAGUCCCCCUUUUCUUAACCUUCCUUUCACCCCAGGGUCCGAACAGCCCCCGAGACGGCUCCCAAGCCUCCAUCCUCGGGGAAACCGGCGGAGAUCUCACAGCUCGGCCGGUGCAGGAAUUCAAGAGUAUGCUAAUGGUCUUUCACAUGAUGGCCUGUGAAUACAUGGGAAUGAAAAUUGCUGGGCUCGGUUCUGCGAUGUAUGGCCUCUGACGGGGGCAUUCCAGCCCUGUGUGGAAUGACUGGGACAUACAGUGUGUGUAACCCUCUGACACCAACCCAAAGAGCUGUAAGAAGAAACCUGACUCGUUUCUCCUGUCCUGAGGAAUGCUCAAGUUACUUCUUUGAACCCAUCCCACCUCCUGCAACUCCUGUCAUCUUUUCUUUGCCAUUUUGGGUUGCAUGUGAAUUGCUAUUGUAAAGAAAAUGUGAUUUAAGCUACUGAUCACUAAGGAGUAUUCCACCUAUUGACAGACAAGCAAAAAACAGUCAUAAAUGCUCCAAAAAUAGGGAGUCAGAGAUACUUCGCUAAGAUUCUCUAACACCAACAGGAAAUAGAACUAUUUCCCAAUCCUCCAUCGAUCCAGUGCCGUGGAUGGACACAACGUCUCAGGUGCCCACCUCCUUCCACCUGCUCCUGCUGAGUCUCCAUCCAGAAGGCUGCCCUUCCACACUCCACACCAUCAGCUCUUCUCUCUAGUUUCCCUGUGUCUGCCCUUCCCUGGAACUGUGUUCACACCCCAUUCAAGACCUCAACACCCCGACACGCUCUGUUCUGCCGACAGGCUCCCUGUGAGGCUGUGCCCUCCACGCAGGCGGCACCGGGGAUGCAAUCCCAGCAAACAUGCACCAGGCUCCUGGGUUCCGGACAUGCUCUUUCACGGAAUCCUCACAUCUGCCCUUCGGUGCACUGUUACCUACACUGUACGGAUGAAGAAACUGAGGCACCACAAUUUUCAGCAUUUUUACCGAAAGUCUCAAAGGUCCAAGCAGCAGAGCCAGAAUCCGAACUUAGUCUGACUCGGGGGUCUCUGUUCUUCUCUGCACGAGCCGUGUUGGCCCUGGAUAGAAUCCCUGCCUCCGCACAGGUGUUCUGAAAGUGCUUGUUGAGUUAACUGGAACAAACACCCAAAGCUAUACUUAGGAAGUUUUAACUUCAUGGACUGUAGACUCUUAUGUGAAGGAGAUGCUGAUGUAAUGAGUUUGCACCCAUGAGGCGUAGAAGAAAGCUAGGCUUCACAUGUUUUGUUUUGUUUUAAGAAUGUAUUUAUUUAUUUGAGAGAGAGCAUGAGGGUGGGGGAGGAACCGAGGGACAGGGACAAGCAGGUUCUGCACUGAGCGUAGAGCCCAACAGGGGCCUCAAGGCCAGGACCCUGAGAUCCUCACCUGAGCAGAAAUCAAGAGUCACAAGUCGGUUGCGAACAGACUGAGCUGCCCAGGCGCCCCACGUUUAACGCUUUAAAGUCAUUCUGCCAUCAUAUAUAUCAGAAUUUGUGUAGGAUCCUUUUUCCAUUCAGAUACUUUCCUAGCAUGAUGUGAACACACACAACCACAUACUCUACACGUUCCACACACUUCACGUUCCUAGGCAGGCACAAGCCGGGAGGACUGCGGGGGUGGGGGGCGGGUAAGAUUGCAACACCUCUUUCCGUGUUCUGGUAAGAAAUUCCAACAGCUCUCAUUUAAAACGUUCCCUUUGGUGGGAAGCGCCUCACCACGCAGCACAGAGGAAUGAGAUAAGUGUUAUGGCCGUUGGACUUGACUGUAGUUUAACCCCAAGGUCACUGGGAGGUCAGAGCUAAAGAAGGGAGUGAAUGUUGGCCUCUGAGCCCGCUGAGCCUCCUGGCACGUUCACUCCCCCUGUUGGCUUUCCCAAGGAGUGCUGUGUCAGCCUGUACCAGCCCUUCUCGGGGCUGCCAUUCUCCCCCCAGGAAGGGAACCAACCCCGCACCGCAUUCCUCAAAGCUUGGGCACCUCCCUGAAUGGCCCUCACUCCUCUUUGCCCAUGAAGCCCGUCUCCAGUUCACACAAAAGACUCUUUCAGAAACUGGUUACCUAGAUUUGAACUUUUCAACGAGGCUUUUUAUUUUUUUUUCCUCUAAGCUCUGCAGCUCAAAUACCAAAUUCUGCUGUUGCUAAGAUUAAGGAUUUUCUCCCUUAGCUCAGUUUCCAUUGACUAGGAAAGACCAGGAGAUGGAUUACUGUUCUCUUGCCGAAAGCAGACAGGGUGCUUGAGCUUCUGGGGCUAACACGGGGAUUCGACAUUAUUCAGGCCUGUGCUAAUAGUCCUUAGUUACUCCUCAAGCUCUCACAAAAGUCACACGCAUUUGUGUCGGUAACUAAGGCCUACGGAAACCACUCAGCCUUAAGUGCACACAGGAGAACCAUGGAGUCGGAGUAAAAGGUAAUUUAACAUGAAUAUUUAUAUACUGUACGUACUGCGUGCCAUGAUUCACUCAGCGUAUUUUCAGUUUAUGCAUUUGCUUCCCAUUUGCAGUCUUUAUUUAUUACAAAGUUAAGGCCGUUAGCGAAAUAACACAUCAGAGUGGGUUUUCUCCCCCACCCACCCCCGUCUUUAAAAAAUUUUCCUGCUUUCUAAUCUAUUUCUGGGGAAGUGUGCCAAUAUAGCAACAAAACCGGUCACAGCUGCCAAACCUCAGAGAGAUUCACGGAGUAUUGUACUGCGUGGAGUCUUUGCCAGGCCCGUACGACGGAGGGCUGUGCCCGGCCACCACGUGAGCCCUGUGGCUACGGAGCUGGGGCAGCUCCUAUCCAUCACCUUUAGUGACAGGAAUCACCCGCCGCGCUUUCA